GUAAGGAAUAUUGGUCAAUGGGCGCAAGCCUGAACCAGCCAUCCCGCGUGCAGGAAGACGGCCCUAUGGGUUGUAAACUGCUUUUGUCAGGGAAUAAACCCCCGCUCGUGAGCGGGGCUGAAGGUACCUGAAGAAUAAGCAUCGGCUAACUCCGUGCCAGCAGCCGCGGUAAUACGGAGGAUGCAAGCGUUAUCCGGAUUCAUUGGGGUUAAAGGGUGCGCAGGCGGAUUGGUAAGUCAGGGGUGAAAUCCCACAGCUCAACUUUGGAACUGCCUUUGAUACUGUCAGUCUAGAGUAUAGUUGAAGUUGGCGGAAUGUGUCAUGUAGCGGUGAAAUGCUUAGAUAUGACACAGAACACCGAUCGCGAAGGCAGCUAGCUAAGCUAUAACUGACGCUCAUGCACGAAAGCGUGGGGAUCAAACAGGAUUAGAAACCCGUGUAGUCC
RNAcentral lists this ribosomal RNA (445 nucleotides) under uncultured bacterium. RNAcentral describes it as "partial 16S ribosomal RNA". It matches the Rfam family "Bacterial small subunit ribosomal RNA", at positions 354 to 796 of the family's 1533-position model. The record is from RNAcentral.